RNAcentral lists this ribosomal RNA (260 nucleotides) under uncultured bacterium. RNAcentral's name for it is "partial 16S ribosomal RNA". It matches the Rfam family "Bacterial small subunit ribosomal RNA", at positions 524 to 782 of the family's 1533-position model. The record is from RNAcentral.
UACGUAGGGGGCGAGCGUUGUCCGGAUUUAUUGGGCGUAAAGAGCUCGUAGGCGGUUCGGUAAGUCGGGUGUGAAAUCUCCACGCUCAACGUGGAGGGGCCACUCGAUACUGCCGUGACUCGAGUCCGGUAGAGGAGUGUGGAAUUCCCGGUGUAGCGGUGAAAUGCGCAGAUAUCAGGAGGAACACCGAUGGCGAAGGCAGGUCUCUGGGCAUUAACUGACGCUGAGGAGCGAAAGCAUGGGGAGCGAACAGGAUAGAA